This 431-nucleotide ribosomal RNA is filed under the name Bacillota bacterium. RNAcentral describes it as "Firmicutes bacterium partial 16S ribosomal RNA". It matches the Rfam family "Bacterial small subunit ribosomal RNA", at positions 355 to 776 of the family's 1533-position model. The record is from RNAcentral. Lineage: Bacteria; Bacillati; Bacillota.
UGGGGAAUUUUUCGCAAUGGGCGAAAGCCUGACGAAGCAACGCCGCGUGGAGGAUGAAGGCCCUCGUGGUCGUAAACUCCUGUCUAGCGGGACGAAAGUAUUGGAGGUGAAUAAUCUCCGAUAUUGACUGUACCGCUGGAGGAAGCUCCGGCCAACUCCGUGCCAGCAGCCGCGGUAAUACGGAGGGAGCAAGCGUUACUCGGAAUUAUUGGGCGUAAAGGGCGCGUAGGCGAUCUGACAAGUCUGGUGUGAAAGCCCACAUGUUAACUGUGGAAGUGCAUUAGAAACUGUUGGAUUUGAGUUCAGGAGAGGAAGGCAGAAUUCCCGGUGUAGCGGUGAAAUGCGUAGAGAUCGGGAGGAAUACCAGUGGCGAAGGCGGCCUUCUGGACUGACACUGACGCUGAGGCGCGAAAGCCAGGGGAGCAAACGGG